AUGCGCCCAUGCACAUAUCCACCGCCGCCGCCCGGAUGCAUACGCGGCCGCUGCUCUCCUCCUCCGCUCCCCACAAGUCGACGCGUAGUGGUAGGCUGGCAGCAAGAAGCGCAGAUGACGGGCGCAGGAGUAACGGCGCGGGCCGUGCGGCGGUUCUCCGUAAUUCCGGCCGCGUGGCUGCUGCUGCUGGUUCUGUUUUCACGCGUGGCGGCGGCCGCGGGUGAUGAUGGCGACGUGCUGUUGGAGGUGAAGAGCGCGUUCGCGGAAGACCCGGAGGGAGUUUUGGAGGGCUGGUCCGGCGAUGGCGGCGGCUCGUCGGACUUCUGUUCCUGGUCCGGCGUCACGUGCGACCCUGCGGGGCUCAGGGUGGCCGGCCUCAACCUGUCCGGCGCGGGGCUGGCCGGGCCGGUGCCCGGGGCGCUCGCGCGGCUCGACGCGCUCGAGGUCAUCGACCUGUCGUCCAACCGCCUCACGGGCCCCAUCCCGGCGGCUCUCGGGCGCCUCAGAAGGCUCCAGCUUCUCAUGCUCUACUCCAACCAGCUCGCCGGCGGGAUCCCGCCGUCGCUGGGCAGACUCGCCGCGCUCCAGGUGCUGCGCCUCGGCGACAACCUCGGCUUGUCGGGGCCAAUCCCCAAAGCGCUCGGGGAGCUCCGGAACCUCACCGUCAUCGGGCUCGCGUCGUGCAACCUCACCGGAGCGAUACCGGGGGGCCUUGGGAGGCUCGCUGCGCUCACGGCCUUGAACCUGCAAGAGAACUCCUUGUCCGGGCCGAUACCAGCGGACAUCGGCGCCAUGCCAAGCCUCCAGGCGCUUGCUCUCGCUGGGAAUCAACUCACCGGCGAGAUACCGCCGGAGCUUGGGAAGCUCUCCUACCUCCAGAAGCUCAACCUCGGGAACAAUUCAUUGGAGGGCGCCAUACCGCCGGAGCUCGGAGCUCUGGGCGAGCUCCUCUACCUCAACCUCAUGAACAACCGCCUCUCUGGGCGCGUGCCGCGCGCUCUCGCCGCGCUCUCUCGCGUGCACACGAUUGACCUGUCCGGUAACAUGCUCACUGGCGGGCUCCCCGCCGAGCUCGGCCGGCUGCCGCAGCUCAACUUCCUUGUGCUCGCCGACAACCACCUCAGCGGCCGCCUUCCGGGCAACAUGUGCAGCGGCAGCAAUGAAGCAGAGCCAUCCACUAGCCUCGAGCACCUCCUGCUCUCCACCAACAACUUCACCGGGGAGAUACCGGACGGGCUGUCGCGGUGCCGUGCGCUGACGCAGCUCGACCUGGCGAACAACAGCCUCUCUGGCGCCAUCCCGCCGGGCCUCGGCGAGCUCGGGAACCUGACGGGUCUGCUGCUCAAUAACAACAGCCUCUCAGGCGAGCUGCCGCCGGAGAUCUUUAACCUCACUGAGCUCACUAGCCUUGCAUUGUACCACAAUCAGCUCACUGGCCAGCUGCCGGACGCCAUCGGCAAUCUCAAGAACCUCCAGGAACUGUACUUGUACGAGAACCAGUUCUCCGGCGAGAUACCGGAGACCAUCGGGGAGUGCUCGAGCUUGCAGAUGAUCGACUUCUUUGGGAACCAGUUCAACGGGAGCAUACCGGCGUCCAUCGGGAAUCUGUCCGAGCUGAUCUUUCUUCACCUCCGGCAGAACGAGCUGUCGGGCCUGAUUCCGCCGGAGCUCGGCGACUGCCAUCAGCUCCAGGUUCUCGACUUGGCGGACAAUGCUCUGUCCGGUGAAAUCCCGGCGACGUUUGAGAAGCUCGAAUCGCUCCAGCAGUUCAUGCUGUACAACAACUCGCUGUCCGGCGCAGUCCCGGAUGGCAUGUUUGAGUGCCGGAACAUCACGAGGGUGAACAUCGCGCACAACCGGCUCGGCGGCAGCCUCCUGCCGCUCUGCGGGUCGGCGAGCCUGCUAUCGUUCGACGCCACAAACAACUCGUUCGAGGGCGGGAUCCCGGCGCAGCUCGGGCGGUCAUCGUCGCUCCAGCGCGUCCGCCUCGGGAGCAACGCCCUGUCCGGGCCGAUCCCGCCGUCGCUGGGCGGCAUCGCCGCGCUGACGCUGCUGGAUGUGUCGAACAAUGCGCUCACCGGCGUCAUCCCGGACGCGCUCUCGCGGUGCACGCAGCUCAGCCACAUCGUCCUCAAUCACAACCGGCUGUCAGGCCCCGUGCCGGCCUGGCUGGGCACGCUGCCGCAGCUGGGGGAGCUGACGCUCUCCGCCAACGAAUUCACCGGCGCAUUGCCGGUCCAGCUCACCAAGUGCUCCAAGCUCCUCAAGCUGUCGCUCGACGGCAACCAGAUCAAUGGAACGGUGCCGCCUGAAAUCGGCAGGUUGGCUUCUCUCAACGUGCUGAAUCUGGCGCAGAACCAGCUCUCAGGUCCGGUACCGGCGACCCUGGCAAGACUGAGCAACCUGUAUGAGCUGAACUUGUCGCAGAAUCACCUGUCGGGCGGGAUUCCACCUGACAUCGGCAAGAUGCAAGAGUUGCAGAGCUUGCUGGAUUUGAGCAGCAACAAUCUGGUGGGCAUAAUCCCUGCAUCGAUUGGGUCUCUCUCCAAGCUGGAAGAUUUGAACCUCUCUCACAAUGCUCUGGUGGGAACAGUGCCGUCGCAGCUCGCCAGGAUGAGCAGUUUGGUGGAGCUGGACUUGUCUAGCAAUCGGCUGGAUGGUAGGCUGGGGGACGAGUUCUCCCGGUGGCCGCAGGACGCCUUCUCCGGCAAUGCUGCGCUCUGCGGCAGCCAUCUGAGAGGCUGCGGCAGCGGCCGGUCCACGAUGCACUCCGCGUCGAUCGCGCUGGUGUCCGCGGCGGUGACACUGACGAUUGUGCUCCUAGUGAUCGUGCUUGUGCUGAUGGCAGUGCGGCGGCGCGGGCGGCACUCCGGGGAGGUGAACUGCACGGUGUUCUCGUCGACCCAGGGCAACACGAACCGGCAGCUGAUUAUCAAGGGCUCGGCGCGGCGGGAGUUCCGGUGGGAUGCGAUCAUGGAGGCGACGGCGAACUUGAGCGACCAAUUCGCCGUCGGCUCCGGGGGCUCGGGGACGGUGUACAGGGCAGAACUGCCCACCGGCGAGACGGUGGCCGUGAAGAGGUUCGUGCACAUGGACAGCGACAUGCUGCUGCAGGACAAGAGCUUCGCGAGGGAGGUGAAGAUCCUGGGCCGGGUGCGGCACCGCCACCUGGUGAAGCUCCUCGGGUUCGUCAGCCAAAGCGACCACGGCGGCAGCAUGCUCAUCUACGAGUACAUGGAGAACGGCAGCCUGUACGAAUGGCUUCACGGCGGCGCCGGCGAGGGCAAGAAGCGGGUGCUGAGCUGGGACGCGCGGCUCAAGGUCGCGGCGGGCCUGGUGCAGGGCGUGGAGUACCUCCACCACGACUGCGUGCCGCGGGUGGUGCACAGGGACAUCAAGUCCAGCAACGUUCUCCUGGACGGCGACAUGGAGGCGCACCUCGGCGACUUCGGCCUGGCCAAGGCCAUCGCCGAGAACCGCAACGGCGGCAAGGAGUGCACCGAGUCGGCCUCUCUCUUCGCCGGAUCAUACGGCUACAUGGCACCAGAGUGUGCUUACAGCCUCAAGGCGACGGAGAAGAGCGACGUCUACAGCACGGGCAUCGUGCUCAUGGAGCUCGUCACCGGCCUCCUGCCCACGGACAAGACCUUCGGCGGCGACGUGGACUUGGUGCGAUGGGUGCAGUCCCGGGUUGACGCGCCGUCGCCGGCCAGGGACCAGUUGUUCGACCCGGCGCUCAAGCCGCUGGCGCCGCGCGAGGAGUCGUCGAUGGCGGAGGUCCUCGAGAUGGCGCUCCGGUGCACCAGGCCGGCGCCAGGGGAGAGGCCGACGGCGCGCCAGAUCUCUGAUCUGCUGCUCCACGUUACGCUCGACUACUACCGAGCCGGCGAGCAGAAGCGCUAG
This 3903-nucleotide ribosomal RNA is filed under the name Triticum aestivum (bread wheat). Its description in RNAcentral is "partial small subunit ribosomal RNA". The record is from RNAcentral. Lineage: Eukaryota; Viridiplantae; Streptophyta; Magnoliopsida; Poales; Poaceae.